CGAAAACUUUACAAUGCUGGUAACAGCGAUAAGGGGACCUUGAGUGCCAGGAUACAAUCUUGGCUGUCGUCGUGUCUAAAAAAACACGAUAUAGCAAGGGCCGGGCAAGACCGGUGCCAGCCGCCGCGGUAACACCGGCGGCUCGAGUGGUAACCGCUAUUAUUGGGUCUAAAGGGUCUGUAGCCGGCUUGGUGAGUCUCUUGAGAAAUCCGGCAGCUUAACUGUCGGGCUUUCAGGAGAUACUGCCAGGCUCGAGACCGGGAGAGGUGAGAGGUACUUCAUGGGUAGGGGUGAAAUCUUGUAAUCCUUGAAGGACCACCAGUGGCGAAGGCGUCUCACCAGAACGGAUCUGACGGCAAGGGACGAAAGCUAGGGGCACGAACCGGAUUAGAUACCCGGGUAGUCCUAGCCGUAAACGAUACUCGCUAGGUGUCGGCCACGGUGCGACCGUGGUCGGUGCCGUAGGGAAGCCGUGAAGCGAGCCACCUGGGAAGUACGGCCGCAAGGCUGAAACUUAAAGGAAUUGGCGGGGGAGCAC
This 538-nucleotide ribosomal RNA is filed under the name uncultured archaeon. RNAcentral describes it as "bacterial SSU rRNA". It matches the Rfam family "Archaeal small subunit ribosomal RNA", at positions 342 to 879 of the family's 1478-position model. The record is from RNAcentral.